GCAAGCUUUGGGAUUCCGGAAUCCAUAUCACAUUAACCAAGGGUUGGUCUUAACCCUAUGGAACUGACCUCUCUAGGUCUAAGCCUUUAUCUCCUAGGUCCAAUUGACUCUAGGUUCAUUGUCCUUUACACAACCUAAGUUAUUACUUUAGGUUUAUUGCUUUCACAUUCUUAACCUAGGUUUAUUACACUAGGAUCAUCAUUCUUUUCCAACCUAGGUUCACUUGACUAUAGGUUAAGCAGCUUUCAUUUCACAACCUAUGUUCUUUACAUUAGGUUUAACAUCACUCUUAUUUAACCUAUGUUCUUUACAUUAGGUUCAACAUCACAUUUGUUUAACCUAUGUCCUCGACACUAGGUUUAAUGCCACUCGAUCUAUAGGUUUAUUCAUGUCCACCUAUAUAUGUUCCUUACUUAGCAUUCUUAACAUGCACUUGCAUUUACUAUUCUUAUAUCAUGCUUAUCACUUAUACUUUAGCAUAGCAUCAUUUACUUUAAUCAUUCUAGGGUUAUGAACCUAGUUUUCAUGCAC
Molecule: long non-coding RNA, 531 nt
Filed under: Ananas comosus (pineapple)
Lineage: Eukaryota; Viridiplantae; Streptophyta; Magnoliopsida; Poales; Bromeliaceae
Description: long non-coding RNA (ACOM_LNC033248)
Source: RNAcentral